UUGAACUGAAGAGUUUGAUCAUGGCUCAGAUUGAACGCUGGCGGCAGGCCUAACACAUGCAAG
Molecule: ribosomal RNA, 63 nt
Filed under: Ectopseudomonas composti
Lineage: Bacteria; Pseudomonadati; Pseudomonadota; Gammaproteobacteria; Pseudomonadales; Pseudomonadaceae
Description: Pseudomonas composti 16S rRNA. Bacterial SSU
Source: RNAcentral